RNAcentral lists this ribosomal RNA (253 nucleotides) under uncultured bacterium. RNAcentral's name for it is "partial 16S ribosomal RNA". It matches the Rfam family "Bacterial small subunit ribosomal RNA", at positions 524 to 776 of the family's 1533-position model. The record is from RNAcentral.
GACGAGGGGUCCAAGCGUUGUUCGGAAUUAUUGGGCGUAAAGCGGGUGUAGGUGGCUCUAUAAGUCAGAAGUGAAAGCCCCGGGCUUAACCCGGGAAGUGCUUUUGAUACUGCAGAGCUUGAAUGUGGGAGAGGAUAGUGGAAUUCCAGGUGUAGUGGUGAAAUACGUAGAUAUCGGGAGGAACACCAGUGGCGAAGGCGACUACCUGGCCUGUUCUUGACGCUGAGGCGCGAAAGCUAGGGGAGCAAACGGG